Molecule: non-coding RNA, 110 nt
Organism: Oryzias latipes (Japanese medaka)
Lineage: Eukaryota; Metazoa; Chordata; Actinopteri; Beloniformes; Adrianichthyidae
Source: Rfam
CCUUCAAUGUCUGAUCUUCCUAUCAUUGUGAAGCAGAAUUCACCAAGCGUUGGAUUGUUCACUCACUAAUAGGGAAAGUAAGCUGGGUUUAGACCGUCAUGAGUCAGGUU